GAAGGACUGUAGCUCAGCGACAGAGCAUCUGCCUCCCAUGCAGAAGGUCCCAGGUUCAAUCCCUGGCAUCUUCA
Non-coding RNA from Zootoca vivipara (common lizard), 74 nucleotides. NCBI's taxonomy places the organism in Eukaryota, Metazoa, Chordata, Lepidosauria, Squamata, Lacertidae. The record is from the annotation of a RefSeq genome assembly.